GGGGCAUUCGGUGGAUGCCUUGGCACCAAGAGCUGAUGAAGGACGUUGCGGCCUGCGAUAUGCCCCGGGGAGUUGGCGAGCGAGCUUUGAUCCGGGGGUGUCCGAAUGGGGGAACCCGGCCCGGGUUGUGCUGGGCCACCAUCAUCUGAACGUGUAUAGGGUGGUGGGGGGAACGCGGGGAAGUGAAACAUCUCAGUACCCGUAGGAAGAGAUAUUCCGUGAGUAGUGGCGAGCGAAAGCGGAUGAUGGCUAAACCUCGUGCGUGUGAUAGGCGGCGGCCGUUGCGCGCGGGGUGUUGUGGGGCCGGCCUGUUUCCCCUCUGCCGGGGGGUGGUUCCGUGUCGUCGUGGGAGUCGAACGCCCUGGGAUGGGCGACCGUAGUGCGUGAUAGUCGUGUAGGCGGUUCCGCGGUGGCGUGGUUCGGGGCUGGUGCCCGAGUAGUGCGGGGCUCGUGGAAUCCCGUGUGAAUCCGCCAAGACCACUUGGUAAGCCUGAAUACUCCUUGGUGACCGAUAGCGCAUAGUACCGUGAGGGAAUGGUGAAAAGUACCCCGGGAGGGGAGUGAAAUAGUACCUGAAACCGUGUGCCUUUAAGCCGUCAGGGCCCUGAGGGGUGAUGGCGUGCCUUUUGAAGAAUGAGCCUGCGAGUUAGUGGCGCGUGGCGUGCUUAACCCGUGUGGGGUAUGCGUAGCGAAAGCGAGUCCGAAACAUGGCGUUGUGUCGCGCGUCCUAGACCCGAAGCGGGGUGAUCUACCCAUGGUCAGGUUGAAGCAGGGGUAAGACCUUGUGGAGGACCGAACCCACCAGGGUUGAAAACCUGGGGGAUGAACUGUGGGUAGGGGUGAAAGGCCAAUCAAACUCCGUGAUAGCUGGUUCUCCCCGAAAUGCAUUUAGGUGCAGCGUCGCGUGGUCCCUGGUGGAGGUAGAGCUACUGGAUGGCCGAUGGGCCCUGUGGGUUACUGACGUCAGCCAAACUCCGAAUGCCAUCAGGGUCGAGCGCGGCAGUGAGACCGCGGGGGAUAAGCUCCGUGGUCGAGAGGGAAACAGCCCGGACCGCCGGCUAAGGCCCCUAAGCGUGCGCUAAGUGGGAAAGGAUGUGGAGUCGCGGUGACAACCAGGAGGUUGGCUUAGAAGCAGCCAUCCUUGAAAGAGUGCGUAAUAGCUCACUGGUCAAGUGGUUCUGCGCCGACAAUGUAGCGGGGCUCAAGCGCACCGCCGAAGCCGUGGCAGCAGCGCUUUUCGCCCUCCUCCCCCCUUUUGGAUGGGGUGGUGGGUGCGCUGCUGGGUAGGGGAGCGUCCUGCGCGGGGCGAAGCCCGGGGGUGACCCCUGGUGGACCGCGUGGGAGUGAGAAUGCAGGCAUGAGUAACGAAUUCUGCGGUGGGAAUCCGCAGCGCCGAUUGACUAAGGGUUCCAGGGCCAGGUUCAUCCGCCCUGGGUUAGUCGGGUCCUAAGGCGAGGCCGACAGGCGUAGUCGAUGGUCGACCAGUUGAUAUUCUGGUACCGCGCGGCGACCGCCAGUGCCGAUACCGCUGUGCUAACCGCCCGCACUGCCCCUCCUGCGCCUUCGGGCGCGGGGGCGGGCCGUGUCGCGGGGCCCCGGUGGUGGAGGCAAGCGUGUUGACAGGGGUGACGCAGGAAGGUAGCCGCAAUGCGCCGGUGGUUGUGCGUAUUCAAGGCUGUGGCCCGUCCCCCAGGCAAAUCCGGGGGGCAUGUGGGUGAGGGCUGAGGAGGGACACACGCGUGUGUGGACUUGUGGUGAUCCUAUGCUGCCGAGAAAAACCCCGACGUGAGGGCGCCGCGCGCCCGUACCCCAAACCGACUCAGGUGGUCAGGUAGAGCAUACCGAGGCGUUCGAGUGAAUCAUGGUUAAGGAACUCGGCAAAAUUCCUCCGUAACUUCGGGAUAAGGAGGACCCCGUGACUUCGGCUCAUCAUGCGUGGGUGUGGGGUUGUGGGGUCGCAGAGAAUAGGGAGAAGCGACUGUUUAUCAAAAACACAGGUGCGUGCGAAGCCGCAAGGCGAUGUAUACGCACUGACGCCUGCCCGGUGCUGGAAGGUCAAGAGGAGCCCUCAGCCCCCCAGGGGGGGCGAAGGGGCGAAUUCAAGCCCCAGUAAACGGCGGUGGUAACUAUAACCAUCCUAAGGUAGCGAAAUUCCUUGUCGGGUAAGUUCCGACCUGCACGAAUGGCGUAACGACUUCUCCGCUGUCUCAACCGCGAACUCGGUGAAAUUGCAGUACGAGUAAAGAUGCUCGUUUCGCGCAGAAGGACGGAAAGACCCCGGGACCUUUACUAUAGCUUGGUAUUGGUGUCCGCUUGUGCUUGUGUAGGAUAGGUGGGAGACUGUGAAGCGGCCGCGCCAGCGGUGGUGGAGUCGUCGUUGAAAUACCAUUCUGGUUCAAGCGGGCGCCUGAACCUGGGCCCGUGAUCCGGGCCGGGGACAGUGCCUGGUGGGUAGUUUAACUGGGGCGGUUGCCUCCUAAAAGGUAACGGAGGCGCUCAAAGGUCCCCUCAGCCUGGUUGGCAAUCAGGUGGCGAGUGCAAGUGCACAAGGGGGCUUGACUGUGAGACCGACGGGUCGAGCAGGUGCGAAAGCAGGAACUAGUGA
This 2605-nucleotide ribosomal RNA is filed under the name human oral metagenome. RNAcentral's name for it is "bacterial LSU rRNA". It matches the Rfam family "Bacterial large subunit ribosomal RNA", at positions 15 to 2418 of the family's 2925-position model. The record is from RNAcentral.